Zootoca vivipara (common lizard) is the source of this 2096-nucleotide non-coding RNA. The record is from RefSeq and is a predicted model, not a curated record. Lineage: Eukaryota; Metazoa; Chordata; Lepidosauria; Squamata; Lacertidae.
UUUGCCUUCAAAGGAAAGAAGUGUAGAGAAGGAAAGAAGUUCUUAAAUACCUUUAUAUUUUCCCUGCAUGUUUAGAAUCCCUUUAACAGCCAUCCAAGUUAAAUUUUGCCAACCUCUCUGCUUUCCCUCUUUCUGACAUUUGGCUGUUGCAAUCAUACAGACCCAAACAUUUCCUAUUCCUAACAAGAUUCAAUAUGAAAUAUAGGCAUAUGAAUGUACAGCAGUAAUUGAUCACAUGUUUAUUGUUUUUGAUGCACUUCUUAAAUUCAGUGCUACUGCCAUUUCUGUAGCAACACCAAUCGAGCCAGAAUAUUUUAAUUUAGCCAUUAAUCUCAUUAAAUCAAAUAAUUCAAAUACAGCGGAUCAACAGCUCUGUACAUGUGGCUGCUGUGCAGGUGCAUAGCAAGGGGGGAACAGAGGGGGUGGCCCACUCCCAACUCCGUCUUUUGGGGGGCAGCACGAGCGGUGGUGGCACCUCGUUAUGUAGUGUGCAUGCGCAGCGUCACUACGUAGUGAUGCCCUGCCCCCAGGUGCGCACCAUGUUUGCCGCUCUGGGUGCCCGAGCGGAUUCCUACGCCAGUGUUGCUGUGUACAUCAAUGAUGUACAGUAUAUGUUGCAGCCAAAUGGUACAUCAUCUACUUUGCAUGCAGGUGGUCCCAUGGUGAAUUCAUGUCAUCUCCAGGUAGGACUGGGAAAGAAUGCUGUCUGAAAUCCAGGAAAGCUGCUGCCAGUCAGUGUAGACAAGACUGACCUAGAUAGACUACUUGACUCCAUAUAAGAAGGGGUGAUGCAUUUACAUGGGCUGAGGUUUCCAAGCGAGGGUUCUCCCAAGCCACUGAAGCCAUUUCAACAAAAUACCAUAUUUUCAUUAUUCUAUCCACUCAAAUGCAAGGGAGAAGACAGUAAUCCCACCCUUGAAAAUAAGUGCUGGCCUGCUCAUUCGAAGUGAGCAGGCAGUCAUUCCAGAAAUGAAGAAAUGGCAAUACAUGGAUUGAUUUUGUGACCAAGACACACAUGGUAUGGAGUUAAGGGGAAUGAUAACUCUGGAUAUGUGCAGCAUAAAAUCUGUACCAGGGCAGUCCCAAAGUGUAAAUAUAAUAAUAAUGCAUUUGUGUAUGACUGAGUUAGCUAUGUAUGCUUUUUUAUGGAUUAUCAUUAGUACUGGUAUGUUGCAACAGAAAUGAUGGAAGUCAGCUUUAUUUUGAGACUGAUGAAAUUCAACAGUUGCUUGGCAUCAUUAAAAACUGAAAUCUCCACGUAUGUGUGCAAUUAAAAUUAGAGACCAUACUGUGGUGAGAAAGAGUGAUAAAGAUAGCAAGUCAGGAAAAUUGUUCUCGAUAAUAACAAAUUACCCAUAAGCAGUUCAAAGAGAGAUUAAUGAAUGCUUGUUGCCAGUCUGAAAAACAUCAAUGCUGGUAGCAAUUGCAAAGGUUCAUGUCCUCUUCACUGACUUCCUCCUCCACUAGGUGAACCGUAAAAAGAACAAGACCAAGUGUUGCUAAUCAGUAGUGCGUAACUCCAGCCUCAGCAAUCUGUCACCAAACACAGGAUAAAAAUAUAGCCCUGUCAUCAUGCAGGGGUCACAAAGAAAUGAAGUAAGUGUUCUGAUUCAAACAGUGACUCAAACAAGUAGAGCUAUUUGUUUGUUUAUUUAUUUGUACAGCUGCCUGGCUAGCUUCUUCCGAUGAGUUAAGAAGAUAAGACGAGCCCUGCUGGAUUAGACCAAAGGUCCAUGCUGUUCAUUAUCCUGCUUUCACGGUGACCACCAGAUACCUAUGGGAAGCCUUCAAAUUGGACAUGAGUGCAACAAUACAUGCAAUUCCCAGCAAAUGGUAUACUGAGAUGUGAUGCUCUUCUUCCAUCUCUUUGCCAAUAUAUUGGUACCUCAGGACCUGGGAGAGCUCCCAGGGAUGACACACCAAUCACAACUCAUUCUCCAUUACCUGCUUGCCUUCACUAUGAUUCCAUGUUCCUGUGUGUGUAAAUGAUGGAAAGAGCCAGACACACAAAUGCAUCCAUGGGAUUCCCUUCCACCCUGGCUGAGGAUUGCAAUUUGUGGUAGAAAACGAACUGCUAAGUGCCUGCAAAAAGUCCA